GGGCGUAUAGCUCAGUUGGGAGAGCGCCGGCAUCGCAAGCCGGAGGCCCCGGGUUCAAGUCCCGGUACGUCCACCA
This 76-nucleotide transfer RNA is filed under the name bacterium. RNAcentral describes it as "tRNA-Ala". It matches the Rfam family "tRNA". From Rfam's summary of the family: Transfer RNA (tRNA) molecules are approximately 80 nucleotides in length. Their secondary structure includes four short double-helical elements and three loops (D, anti-codon, and T loops). Further hydrogen bonds mediate the characteristic L-shaped molecular structure. tRNAs have two regions of fundamental functional importance: the anti-codon, which is responsible for specific mRNA codon recognition, and the 3' end, to which the tRNAs corresponding amino acid is attached (by aminoacyl-tRNA synthetases). tRNAs cope with the degeneracy of the genetic code in two manners: having more than one tRNA (with a specific anti-codon) for a particular amino acid; and 'wobble' base-pairing, i.e. permitting non-standard base-pairing at the 3rd anti-codon position. The record is from RNAcentral.